GAAUCUGGGAGGACCAUCUCCUAAGGCUAAAUACUCUCUAGUGACCGAUAGUGAACCAGUACCGUGAGGGAAAGGUGAAAAGCACCCCGGAAGGGGAGUGAAAUAGAACCUGAAACCGUGUGCUUACAAGUAGUCAGAGCCCGUUAAUGGGUGAUGGCGUGCCUUUUGUAGAAUGAACCGGCGAGUUACGAUUUGAUGCAAGGUUAAGCAGUAAAUGUGGAGCCGUAGCGAAAGCGAGUCUGAAUAGGGCGUUUAGUAUUUGGUCGUAGACCCGAAACCAGGUGAUCUACCCUUGGUCAGGUUGAAGUUCAGGUAACACUGAAUGGAGGACCGAACCGACUUACGUUGAAAAGUGAGCGGAUGAACUGAGGGUAGCGGAGAAAUUCCAAUCGAACCUGGAGAUAGCUGGUUCUCUCCGAAAUAGCUUUAGGGCUAGCCUCAAGUGAUGAUUAUUGGAGGUAGAGCACUGUUUGGACGAGGGGCCCCUCUCGGGUUACCGAAUUCAGACAAACUCCGAAUGCCAAUUAAUUUAACUUGGGAGUCAGAACAUGGGUGAUAAGGUCCGUGUUCGAAAGGGAAACAGCCCAGACCACCAGCUAAGGUCCCAAAAUAUAUGUUAAGUGGAAAAGGAUGUGGCGUUGCCCAGACAACUAGGAUGUUGGCUUAGAAGCAGCCAUCAUUUAAAGAGUGCGUAAUAGCUCACUAGUCGAGUGACACUGCGCCGAAAAUGUACCGGGGCUAAACAUAUUACCGAAGCUGUGGAUUGUCCUUUGGACAAUGGUAGGAGAGCGUUCUAAGGGCGUUGAAGCAUGAUCGUAAGGACAUGUGGAGCGCUUAGAAGUGAGAAUGCCGGUGUGAGUAGCGAAAGACGGGUGAGAAUCCCGUCCACCGAUUGACUAAGGUUUCCAGAGGAAGGCUCGUCCGCUCUGGGUUAGUCGGGUCCUAAGCUGAGGCCGACAGGCGUAGGCGAUGGAUAACAGGUUGAUAUUCCUGUACCACCUAUAAUCGUUUUAAUCGAUGGGGGGACGCAGUAGGAUAGGCGAAGCGUGCGAUUGGAUUGCACGUCUAAGCAGUAAGGCUGAGUAUUAGGCAAAUCCGGUACUCGUUAAGGCUGAGCUGUGAUGGGGAGAAGACAUUGUGUCUUCGAGUCGUUGAUUUCACACUGCCGAGAAAAGCCUCUAGAUAGAAAAUAGGUGCCCGUACCGCAAACCGACACAGGUAGUCAAGAUGAGAAUUCUAAGGUGAGCGAGCGAACUCUCGUUAAGGAACUCGGCAAAAUGACCCCGUAACUUCGGGAGAAGGGGUGCUCUUUAGGGUUAACGCCCAGAAGAGCCGCAGUGAAUAGGCCCAAGCGACUGUUUAUCAAAAACACAGGUCUCUGCUAAACCGUAAGGUGAUGUAUAGGGGCUGACGCCUGCCCGGUGCUGGAAGGUUAAGAGGAGUGGUUAGCUUCUGCGAAGCUACGAAUCGAAGCCCCAGUAAACGGCGGCCGUAACUAUAACGGUCCUAAGGUAGCGAAAUUCCUUGUCGGGUAAGUUCCGACCCGCACGAAAGGCGUAACGAUUUGGGCACUGUCUCAACGAGAGACUCGGUGAAAUCAUAGUACCUGUGAAGAUGCAGGUUACCCGCGACAGGACGGAAAGACCCCGUGGAGCUUUACUGUAGCCUGAUAUUGAAAUUCGGCACAGCUUGUACAGGAUAGGUAGGAGCCUUUGAAACGUGAGCGCUAGCUUACGUGGAGGCGCUGGUGGGAUACUACCCUAGCUGUGUUGGCUUUCUAACCCGCACCACUUAUCGUGGUGGGAGACAGUGUCAGGCGGGCAGUUUGACUGGGGCGGUCGCCUCCUAAAAGGUAACGGAGGCGCUCAAAGGUUCCCUCAGAAUGGUUGGAAAUCAUUCAUAGAGUGUAAAGGCAUAAGGGAGCUUGACUGCGAGACCUACAAGUCGAGCAGGGUCGAAAGACGGACUUAGUGAUCCGGUGGUUCCGCAUGGAAGGGCCAUCGCUCAACGGAUAAAAGCUACCCCGGGGAUAACAGGCUUAUCUCCCCCAAGAGUUCACAUCGACGGGGAGGUUUGGCACCUCGAUGUCGGCUCAUCGCAUCCUGGGGCUGUAGUCGGUCCCAAGGGUUGGGCUGUUCGCCCAUUAAAGCGGUACGCGAGCUGGGUUCAGAACGUCGUGAGACAGUUCGGUCCCUAUCCGUCGUGGGCGUAGGAAAUUUGAGAGGAGCUGUCCUUAGUACGAGAGGACCGGGAUGGACAUACCUCUGGUGUACCAGUUGUCGUGCCAACGGCAUAGCUGGGUAGCUAUGUGUGGACGGGAUAAGUGCUGAAAGCAUCUAAGCAUGAAGCCCCCCUCAAGAUGAGAUUUCCCAACUUCGGUUAUAAGAUCCCUCAAAGAUGAUGAGGUUAAUAGGUUCGAGGUGGAAGCAUGGUGACAUGUGGAGCUGACGAAUACUAAUCGAUCGAAGACUUAAUCAA
RNAcentral lists this ribosomal RNA (2478 nucleotides) under Staphylococcus aureus. Its description in RNAcentral is "partial 23S ribosomal RNA". It matches the Rfam family "Bacterial large subunit ribosomal RNA", at positions 440 to 2925 of the family's 2925-position model. Lineage: Bacteria; Bacillati; Bacillota; Bacilli; Caryophanales; Staphylococcaceae. The record is from RNAcentral.